UAACACAUGCAAGUCGAGGGGCAGCAUGGUCUUAGCUUGCUAAGGCCGAUGGCGACCGGCGCACGGGUGAGUAACGCGUAUCCAACCUGCCUUACACUCUUGGACAGCCUUCUGAAAGGGAGAUUAAUACAAGAUGUUAUCAUGAGUAAGCAUUUUCACAUGAUUAAAGGUUUACCGGUGUAAGAUGGGGAUGCGUUCCAUUAGAUAGUAGGCGGGGUAACGGCCCACCUAGUCUUCGAUGGAUAGGGGUUCUGAGAGGAAGGUCCCCCACAUUGGAACUGAGACACGGUCCAAACUCCUACGGGAGGCAGCAGUGAGGAAUAUUGGUCAAUGGACGAGAGUCUGAACCAGCCAAGUAGCGUGAAGGAUGAAGGUUCUAUGGAUUGUAAACUUCUUUUAUACGGGAAUAAACGAAUCCACGUGUGGAUUUUUGCAUGUACCGUAUGAAUAAGGAUCGGCUAACUCCGUGCCAGCAGCCGCGGUAAUACGGAGGAUCCGAGCGUUAUCCGGAUUUAUUGGGUUUAAAGGGAGCGUAGAUGGGUUGUUAAGUCAGUUGUGAAAGUUUGCGGCUCAACCGUAAAAUUGCAAUUGAUACUGGCAGUCUUGAGUACAGUUGAGGUAGGCGGAAUUCGUGGUGUAGCGGUGAAAUGCUUAGAUAUCACGAAGAACUCCGAUUGCGAAGGCAGCUUACUAACCUGUAACUGACAUUGAUGCUCGAAAGUGUGGGUAUCAAACAGGAUUAGAUACCCUGGUAGUCCACACGGUAAACGAUGAAUACUCGCUGUAGGCGAUAUACAGUCUGCGGCCAAGCGAAAGCAUUAAGUAUUCCACCUGGGGAGUACGCCGGCAACGGUGAAACUCAAAGGAAUUGACGGGGGCCCGCACAAGCGGAGGAACAUGUGGUUUAAUUCGAUGAUACGCGAGGAACCUUACCCGGGCUUAAAUUGCAACCGAAUAUGGCGGAAACGCUAUAGCUAGCAAUAGCGGUUGUGAAGGUGCUGCAUGGUUGUCGUCAGCUCGUGCCGUGAGGUGUCGGCUUAAGUGCCAUAACGAGCGCAACCCUUGCCGAUAGUUACUAACAGGUCAUGCUGAGGACUCUGUCGGGACUGCCAUCGUAAGAUGUGAGGAAGGUGGGGAUGACGUCAAAUCAGCACGGCCCUUACGUCCGGGGCUACACACGUGUUACAAUGGGGGGUACAGAGGGCUGCUACCACGCAAGUGGAUGCCAAUCCCAAAAACCUCUCUCAGUUCGGAUUGAAGUCUGCAACCCGACUUCAUGAAGCUGGAUUCGCUAGUAAUCGCGCAUCAGCCACGGCGCGGUGAAUACGUUCCCGGGCCUUGUACACACCGCCCGUCAAGCCAUGGGAGCCGGGGGUACCUGAAGUGCGUAACCGCAAGGAGCGCCCUAGGGUAAAACUGGUGACUGGGGCUAAGA
RNAcentral lists this ribosomal RNA (1435 nucleotides) under uncultured organism. Its description in RNAcentral is "SSU rRNA". It matches the Rfam family "Bacterial small subunit ribosomal RNA". The record is from RNAcentral.